Triticum dicoccoides is the source of this 881-nucleotide RNA transcript. It is a transcript of the gene named probable helicase MAGATAMA 3, with no coding region annotated. Lineage: Eukaryota; Viridiplantae; Streptophyta; Magnoliopsida; Poales; Poaceae. The record is from RefSeq and is a predicted model, not a curated record. The transcript has 4 exons.
CUCUUACUUAGUAAUGUUACUUCUUAAAGUGCAUGUCAAACCAUGUUGUAAUUCUUGGAUUUUAGUUUUCGGUGUGCCAUAUCUUUUUUACAUUUAUGUCCUAAAAAUGUUCUGAUUCCAAUGAUGAGAAACCUUAUGCAAUUUUAUGUGAAAACAAUAGCAACCUCAUUAACAUGAUUACAAGUAACAAGUUGCGCAUACAUAGUUCCCGUGUGUUGUUUGAGUAUGCCAUUCUUAAUGGAUUACUAUUUGUAUGUGAGAACUAAGAAGAGCUAUCAACUGCAGGCCAUAUGCUAAUUUCUCAAUUAUUUUGUAUUGUCUGCAGUACCGAAUGCAUCCUUACAUUAGCAGAUUCCCAUCGUUGCAUUUCUAUGAAAACAAACUGCUGGAUGGUGCUCAGAAGGCUGAGAAAUCAGAUCCUUUCCAUGAUCACCGUUGUCUUGGUCCAUACAUGUUCUUUGAUAUUGCCGAUGGUCAUGAGCAUGCUGGAACAAGUGCUGCUGCACAAUCACUCUCUAAUCAAUUUGAAGCUGGUGCAGCACUUGAAAUACUGUCAUUUUUAAAGAACAAAUAUCCAACAGAUUUCUCCUGUAGGAAGAUAGGGAUCAUAACUUAUGGCUAUGUUGUGGAAGAGUUCUUGCGGGUGUGAGCUUGAGAAAGAAGGAGACGGCAAGUGAAAGACUGAGAAGACCAGGGAUUCUUCUUUGCCAGCCGUAAGGUGGAGGCGUUGCUUAGGGAACAUCAAACUGUAUUAGGAGAUCCAGAUAUAUAAUGCGUCUGUGUACAACAACAACAACAACAAAGCCUUUAGUCCCAAACAAGUUGGGGUAGGCUAGAGGUGAAACCCAUAAGAUCUCGCAACCAACUCAUGGCUCUGGCAC